UUUUUCUUUUUUUUUUCUUUCCGUGCCUUUCAUAUCUCUAAGGUCUCGGCAAGUGCAUUUUUUUCUUUUCUUAUUUUCUUUUUUUUCUUAUAAAGGACAUACAUACUGUUUUUUUUUUUUUUUUUUUUGUUUUGUAUGAUCUCAUCUUAUGCACUUGCCUUCCCUUUCAAAAUUUUCACCCAAACUUAUUUUCAUUGCACAUCUUGCAAUUCACACAAUCAUACCGAGUUAUGACACAAAAGGGA
RNAcentral lists this long non-coding RNA (245 nucleotides) under Lathyrus oleraceus (garden pea). RNAcentral describes it as "Pisum sativum (pea) long non-coding RNA (PSAT_LNC039055)". Lineage: Eukaryota; Viridiplantae; Streptophyta; Magnoliopsida; Fabales; Fabaceae. The record is from RNAcentral.